CUCGACUCUUGAUGCGUAUUUUAGAUGAGAGAAUGAUGGGUUGCUUGGUUUUUGGCUGGAUUUGAGAUUUGAGAAAUUGAGAAUUUUUCUUUUUCCUUUUCUAAAGCCUGCAACUAUUACCCUGCCUACUGAACUCAGUAUCAGUAACUUUGACAAUUUUCUUCUUCUUUUUUAAAAAAAUCGGUGAAAACGGGUAUAGCGGACCCAUUUUGCAGCUAUUCCCCGUCACGGCGUUAUUUCGCGGCCGUUACCCGCCGCUAUUGACGCGAAAUUUAUUCACACCGCGAUUUCAACGUUUAGCUAUUCGAAUCCCUUGAAAAAGGAAUAUCAUACAAUUAAAUUUUUUUAUCAGUAUCUACUUUGCUGCAGGCUUAAAGCUUAAGCUAAGGGAGAACAAUUAAACUGAUCGAACGAGCUAAGAUUAUGUCCAGUUUUCGGCUUUUUUUUCCUUAUUUAGGUCGAAUGGUGAUGGAUUGCUCACUGACAUUCAGAUUCCGAUAACGAUGAUAUAGAAGAGAUUUGGUUGAAGGAGCCCAACUGUGGGACAACACCAAUGGCUGCUGCAAUGUGUUAAUCUUUUUGUGAGAACGUAAUUAUUUUGUUUUAAUUUUAUGCUAAUGGGUGAAGCUGUGAGGGGAGUGAUCGUAGACCAUGCGUUGCUUCAAUAUGGGACCAUACAACCCGAGAAUUUCAAGAGCAACGGAACUCUUUCCUUGCUCCGCAAGCUCCUAUUUUCCAAUAUUCAAACGGCCAUUUCCUAUGUGUUGCCUGUUUCAGCUGAGCAAGUUAAUCUCCUGCAGACAAUGGCUAAGCUACACUCUUUUGAAUGCCUUCCUUUGACGGCAUCUUCCCCGGACAUUGCAUCUCGUGAGAUUGCCCAAACUUGGUCUCAUAUCUCAGGCACCAUUUUGUAUCUCCUUCCUAACCAUGAUGCCUCUCCCAAAAUAACCUGCACAUACUUCUCAAUUGCUCUUGAUGAUGAAGUUACCAGUGCAUUCCACAAUUCAAACAGGAUUUAUAUGGAGAAAUUGGAAGAGCUGCCUUUGACUAUUUGCCACCUAAAUAAAAAGGCAAUAAGCAAUGAUCUUGUGACGGUUGGUUACAUUAUGAAGCCUUCUCGCGAGGAAGAUUUCGCCAAGAGGGGUGCCUUUCCAAUUUGUCCAACUCCGAAUGGGUUGAUGUUUUUGCCCUUAACUUUUGAACUUCCUAUAUCAAAACAGUUAGAAGAGGUUGAUGUGAUUCUCCAUAAAGCAACUGAUGAAAUUGUGUCCAUUGAAUUAAAUAGCUCCUCAGAAUCUUCCUACCAGAUUGGUUACACGAAAGGAAUGCAAGAACUGCAAAGGCAUAUUGAAAAUCACAAUGACUGCUUCGAAGUUGAUCCACUUAAUAGUAUUUACCCUGUACUUGAUCGGUUAAAGAUCCAACAACUUUUACUUGGGCUAGAGGAUCUUAAUGUAGGGGGACGCUGCAAAGUCAGGGCUCCUCACUUUCUCAAGGUUAACAGUUUUGAUGAACCUGAUUUGGUACAAAGACUGCAUGAUGCAACACUGUCUCUUCCAAGUAUAGUGAAACCGCAGGUUGCUUGUGGUGUAGCUGACGCUCACAGUAUGGCAAUUGUCUUUAAAGUUGAAGACUUCAAGGUUUUGAAUGUUCCACUACCUGCUGUCAUUCAGGAAUAUGUUGAUCAUUCAUCCACUUUGUUCAAGUUUUAUGUUCUGGGUGACAGAGUUUUCCACACAGUAAAGAAGUCUAUGCCUAAUGCUGACGUUUUGAUAAAAUCAUCCGAAAAAAAUGGAUCAAAACCUCUUCUCUUUGAUAGCUUAAAGUCUCUACCUACUGCCACCGCAAACCAGCAUUCUGAAGGUUGGGAUCCAUGCCUUGAUCUUGCACUAGUAAACAAGGCUGCUGAGAGGCUUUCGAAGAGGCUGGGUCUUACUAUUUUUGGCUUUGACGUUGUUAUUCAAGAAGGUUCUGGCGAUCAUGUCGUUGUGGAUGUAAACUACCUGCCGUCAUUCAAAGAAAUUCCUGACGAUGUGGCUGUUCCUGCAUUUUGGGAUGCUAUUAAAAAGAAGGUAGAUUUGAAAGCAGUGAAGUAGCGAAGUAUGGCUCCUCUUCCCAUGGAGUCUCAUGAUUAGCAAGAGACAAGAAAAAGCAAGGCGGGUUCGGAUCCUGUCAAAACAAAAGCAAAGACUAAAUUGUCUUGAUGACUUCCGUGAUACUUUGACCUUAAGAAGUAAUGCUUUCUUUUUCCCUUCUCCUGGUUGAACAAAUUAGUGUAACAAUGUUGUGGAUCAUUUGUUAUUUCAAUGUAGUGCAACGAUUAGGAAUUCUUGUUUUA
Molecule: RNA transcript, 2338 nt
Organism: Gossypium raimondii (Peruvian cotton)
Lineage: Eukaryota; Viridiplantae; Streptophyta; Magnoliopsida; Malvales; Malvaceae
Gene name: inositol 1,3,4-trisphosphate 5/6-kinase 4
Exons: 13
Source: RefSeq, a predicted model, not a curated record